Molecule: ribosomal RNA, 168 nt
Filed under: Mouriri dumetosa
Lineage: Eukaryota; Viridiplantae; Streptophyta; Magnoliopsida; Myrtales; Melastomataceae
Description: 5.8S ribosomal RNA
Rfam family: 5.8S ribosomal RNA
About the family: 5.8S ribosomal RNA (5.8S rRNA) is a component of the large subunit of the eukaryotic ribosome. It is transcribed by RNA polymerase I as part of the 45S precursor that also contains 18S and 28S rRNA.
Source: RNAcentral
AAAACGACUCUCGGCAACGGAUAUCUCGGCUCUUGCAUCGAUGAAGAACGUAGCGAAAUGCGAUACUUGGUGUGAAUUGCAGAAUCCCGUGAACCAUCGAGUCUUUGAACGCAAGUUGCGCCCGAAGCCAAUUUUUUGGCCGAGGGCACGCCUGCUUGGGUGUCGUGA